AUGGGCGGCCCGGCGGCGCGGAGGGGCGCCGGGGGGCUCCGCGCGCUGCUCCUGGCGCUGCUGGCCGCGGGGACCCCCGCGGGCGCCUACAACCUGGACCCGCAGCGCCCCGUGCGCUUCCAGGGCCCCGCCGGUUCCUUCUUCGGCUACGCGGUGCUGGAGCACUUCCACGACAACACGCGCUGGGUCCUUGUGGGCGCACCAAAGGCAGAGUCCAAGUACAGCACUUCAGUGAAGUCCCCCGGGGCUGUGUUUAAGUGCCGCGUCCACACCAACCCUGACCGGAGAUGCACCGAAUUAGACAUGGCUCGAGGGAAGAAUCGGGGCAUGUCGUGUGGAAAGACCUGCCGGGAAGACAGGGAUGACGAGUGGAUGGGGGUGAGCCUGGCCCGGCAGCCCAAGGCUGAUGGCCGUGUGCUGGCCUGUGCCCACCGCUGGAAGAACAUCUACUAUGAAACAGACCACAUCCUGCCCCAUGGCUUCUGUUACAUCAUCCCGUCCAACCUCCAGGCCAAAGGCAGGACGCUGAUCCCCUGCUAUGAAGAGUAUAAGAAGAAGUACGGAGAGGAACACGGCUCCUGCCAGGCUGGGAUAGCAGGCUUCUUCACCGAGGAGCUGGUGGUGAUGGGUGCCCCGGGGUCAUUUUAUUGGGCCGGGACGGUCAAGGUGCUGAACCUUACGGACAACACCUAUUUCAAGCUGAACGACGAAGCGAUCAUGAACAGGCGGUACACGUACCUGGGCUACGCAGUGACUGCCGGCUCCUUCUCUCGCCCGUCCACCACCGACGUGGUGGGAGGUGCCCCCCAGGACGAAGGCGUCGGGAAGGUUUAUAUUUUUAGAGCUGAUCAAAGAUCGGGCACCUUGAUUAAGAUUUUUCAGGCAUCAGGUAAAAAGAUGGGCUCUUACUUCGGCUCCUCCUUAUGUGCAGUUGACCUGAACGCGGACGGCCUCUCUGACCUGCUGGUGGGGGCCCCCAUGUUCUCUGAGAUCAGGGACGAGGGGCAGGUCACUGUCUACAUCAACAGAGGAAAUGGAGCCCUCGAGGAGCAGCUGGCCCUCAGCGGCGAUGGCACCUACAACGCACACUUUGGGGAGAGCAUCGCCAGCCUGGGCGACCUUGAUGACGAUGGCUUCCCGGAUGUGGCCAUUGGUGCACCCAAGGAGGAUGACUUCUCGGGGGCCGUCUACAUCUAUCACGGCGAUGCUAGUGGGAUCGUCCCUCAGUACUCAAUGAAACUGUCGGGGCAGAAGAUAAGUCCGGUUCUGGGGAUGUUUGGUCAGUCCAUAUCAGGAGGCAUUGAUAUGGAUGGAAAUGGCUAUCCUGAUGUGACUGUUGGAGCCUUCAUGUCCGACAGUGUAGUUCUUCUAAGGGCGAGACCCGUCAUCACGGUGGAUGUCUCCAUCUUCCUCCCGGCCUCCAUCAACAUCACGGCGCCUCAGUGUCACGAUGGGCUGCAGCCUGUGAACUGCCUGAAUGUCACCGCCUGCUUUAGCUUCCACGGCAAGCAUGUUCCAGGAGAAAUUGGCCUCAAUUACGUUCUGACGGCUGAUGUGGCCAAAAAGGCAAAGGGCCAGUUGCCCAGGGUCUACUUUGUGUUGCUGGGCGAGCCCGUGGGUCAGGUCACAGAGAAGCUGCAGCUGGUCCACAUGGAGGAGAUGUGUCACCACUACGUGGCCCACGUGAAGCGGAGAGUUCAGGACGUCAUCAGUCCCAUCGUGUUUGAAGCUGCCUACAGCCUGGGUGAGCACGUGACCGGAGACGAGGAGAGGGAGCUGCCGCCUCUGACACCAGUGCUCCGCUGGAAAAAGGGACAGAAGAUUGCCCAGAAGAAUCAGACCGUCUUUGAAAGGAACUGCCGUUCAGAGGACUGUGCCACAGACCUGCAGCUUCGGGGUCAGCUGUUGCUCUCCAGUGUGGAUGAGAAAACCCCAUACCUAGCUUUGGGAGCUGUGAAGAAUAUCUCCCUAAACAUCUCGAUCUCAAACCUUGGGGAUGACGCCUACGAUGCCAACGUGUCCUUCAAUGUUUCCCGUGAGCUCUUCUUUAUCAACAUGUGGCAGAAGGAGGAAAUGGGCAUUUCCUGUGAACUGCUGGAAUCAGACUUCCUCAAAUGCAGCGUGGGAUUUCCUUUCAUGAGGUCCAAGUCAAAGUAUGAAUUCAGCGUGAUCUUUGACACCAGCCACGUGUCUGGGGAAGAGGAAGUUCUUAGCUUCAUCGUUACCGCUCAGAGUGGCAACGUGGAGCGCUCCGAGUCCCUGCAUGACAACACCCUCACGCUGACGGUGCCGCUGAUGCACGAGGUGGACACGUCCAUCACUGGAAUCAUGUCUCCAACCUCCUUUGUGUACGGCGAGUCUGUGGAUGCAUCCAACUUCAUUCAGCUGGAUGACACGGAGUGUCACUUUCAGCCCCUCAACAUCACCCUUCAGGUCUAUAAUACUGGGCCAAGCACCCUUCCUGGGUCAUCUGUCAGUAUCACUUUCCCCAAUCGACUGUCAUCUGGAGGUGCAGAAAUGUUUCAUGUCCAGGAGAUGAUGGUGGGCCAAGAGAAGGGAAACUGUUCUUUCCAAAAAAACCCAACCCCCUGCAUCAUCCCUCAAGAGCAAGAAAAUAUCUUCCAUACGAUAUUUGCCUUUUUCACAAAGUCUGGAAGAAAAGUCUUGGACUGUGAAAAACCAGGAAUCUCUUGCCUAACAAUGCACUGUAACCUUAGCGCGCUUGCUAAAGAAGAAAGUCGUACUAUAGACAUUUACAUGCUGCUGAACACAGAAAUAUUGAAGAAGGACAGUUCAUCUGUCAUCCAGUUCAUGACCCGUGCCAAGGUCAAGGUGGAUGCUGCCCUGAGGGUGGUGGAGAUAGCCAAUGGGAACCCAGAAGAGAUGACGGUGGUCUUCGAAGCCUUGCACAAUCUGGAGCCCCGUGGCUAUGUCGUGGGCUGGAUCAUUGCCAUAAGUCUGCUGGUGGGAAUACUCAUCUUCCUGCUGCUGGCUGUUCUGCUCUGGAAGGAAGAAAGAAGGCAGCAUCUCCCAAACUCAUUUGACUGUGAAUUUUAUUCGCAAAUCACUAUUUUACUCCCAAACGCCUUUGAAUAACUCUCGGUAACUAGCGUUCGCCAGCACACCGUUGGGAAAACACUUCACCAAAAGCACUUUAUAAGGAACAGUCAUGAGAGAACCUGCAGAAAGUCCGUGCAUUUUGAAAAGUGGCUCCACAAUAAUGCUCUUCCUAAAUCGGUCUAAUCUGAGGGGCUUUCCAAGCCUUCCCAGAUGGGCUUCUUUCGCCGAAGGUACAAAGAAAUUAUUGAAGCCGAGAAAAACCGGAAAGAGAACGAAGACAGUUGGGACUGGGUCCAGAAAAACCAGUGACCUGCCACACCAGUCACGUGACCCAAUCGGCCGCCUGUCGUCCUUGAUCUUUGUAUCUUCCAUAUUUGGAAGAAAGAAUCUUCUCCAGAUUUUUCGGAGGCCCCACUGAUGCUGUUCUCUUCCUCGUUUUUUUGUCAAGCCCAGGAGCCACCCUGAGGCAGCCGCUCUGGCCAGGUCACAUGACUGGAGCCCCACCUGUUUCUUCUUAAAGGUGAACUCCAAACUUGGGAAAGCAAGCUACAGAGGUGAACGAUAUUUAUGGAUGCAACGUGCGUGGUCAACCCUCAGGGGAAAACUGUUACCUAAAAGUAUUUUUAUAAAUAUAAGCCUUUUAUAUACUGAUUAUGUCUUUAUAUUUGUAUCGAUGUUUUAUUAUUUCUAUUAAAUAGUUAUAUAAUUCACUCAAGCACUGAUCUCCGGGCUGAAAUCUUGGAAGUACGUGUGCAUUCAUACAAAUCUGAUCGUACUUUGGGACUUGCUGUUAAAAAGAGACGUGCACAUAACAUAAUCUGAGGAGACCUCGUGUGAGCCACGAAGCAGGCGGCACCACACGUAUACUGGCUGAGGUCAGACCCCUAAGACAAUUCGAAUCUUUGUUGCCUGGAGUCGUUUGAAAUAAUGUGCUAAAGGACUCUAAGCGGUUUCACACAUAUGUUCCAUCGGAAGGCUUCCAACAGGACUUUGGAUGGAAAAACCUGCCCCUACCACAAGUCUGCUCGGCAUCACCUAUACGGACAUCACACUGUCCUUGCACUUGGAUUAAUGGACGAGAGCUUGGAGCAAGACCAUUGGGUCACCUGGCAAACCUCAGCAAGGCAUCUCAUCCUGGAUGUCAUGCAUCCGAGUCCGCUCGCCACGAGGACUAAAUCAGUGCCCACCAAGCAAAGACUUGUGUCAGAAUGCUGUGAUGUGUUGCCUUUUCGUGGUAAUUUGAGGUCAGAGGUCUCCACUUCCCCUCCCACUCUUGCUGCCCCAGCUGAUGGCCGUUGCAGAUUCCUUCCCAGAGAUGACCAUUCAACCUGUCCUUAGUUUUUAAAACAGCGUCUUAAGGGAGGUUCCCCGAAAGCAGACUCCAGUACAAAGAUUUGCCUGCAAGUAACCGAAUAAGGUGGUGUUCUGCCCGUAGGAGACGGCAGUAAGGGGGUGAGGGAAGCAGGACAGGGAAGGGGAGGAAGCCAGGCAAGGGUGCCAUUUCAGAGGACAUCCCGAGGAGGGUAGCUUCAGCCUGAUCCUGCAGGGAGCUCUGGAGGGUAAGUUGUGUCCCAGAGUCGCCCCAACCCGGGGCAAGGGAGCUGAUCUUUCAGAUUCUUGGGUGCAGGGGAGCUAUAAAUUUCCCACUCUCAGUUCCGGCUGGCAGAACGGCUCCGACAGCCCAGAGGCAGUCCUCUGCACGCGAGCUGCAAAUGCACCCCCAGCCCGGGGAGGCAUCCAGAGAUGAUGUGAAAAAGAAUGCAUUGGGACCUGGGCGCAGCGCUGGCACUUCCCUGCCCACUGCGCGCCGGAAUGCCGAGUUGCUGCCCUCGGUUCCAGUCUCCCUGUUUGCCGGUUGGUGUUUAUCAUCAGCCGCGCUGUGCCGCCUGGUUUUGAGUGCAAUGUGAUUUUCUAGAAGGGCAAUGAGAUGACGCGUGUAGUGUGCCCAGCACAGCGCCUGGACCACAGGGUACACUCAGUAACUGGCCGCAGCCCUGGGCGCGGUCGCCACAAACCUUCUGAUGAGAGAAAAAACACGCGGCUGAGAACAGGGUCUGACAAAGAGUCCUUAAUGGCUUAUUACAGCCCGCUGGAGCCCCAGGAGCAUAAAAGAUGUUAGCAAGUGGGACCGAAAGAAGAAACAAGACGGGGGAUCUUUCUUGUAGGGCCUUGUCUACUGGAAGCUAACAUGUUGGGGGGUCUGUGAACAUCGUUGCAAAGACGCAGAACUCCAGAGGAGACAGGCUUUUCCACGCACAUACUUGGCUAAUACUUGGAAAGAUAGCAAAGUUUAGGCAAAAUCAUGAGGAUGCCGGACAGUUGUGAACCUGGCGUGGAACAGAAGCGUCUUUUCGUUUCUUAUUAUGCAUUUGACUCUGAUGCAGAAAGACAAUGAACGUAUCAUGUGUCCCUUCCUGGUGAAUCUGGGAAUAGAUGACAAGGCCAGAGGGUCAAUGGCAUGAACUAGGCUGAUCUUAGAAUGAAGGCGGAGAUGUUGCUUCUGACAGGGACGGAGGCAGAGGUAGCUACCGGGCAGAUGCAGUCAAAGACACCAGUUGUCAGAGUUCCCCUGUGAGUUGUAUCAAAAGUAGUGAGGGCAGUUUUGAGGGGGUCUUGGUCACUCGCUUAAAGGACACUUUUAAGCUGUGCAUCAGGAGCUGCGUUAAGUGCUGGGGCUUCCCCAGAGAACUCCGCAGCACAUUCUGCCCGGAGAGCCAAACCCUCCCGCCAGAGGCGGACGGAGAGUCUCCUCUAUGAGACCCCACGUGCGGCUUUCCCUCAGUGGACUUUUGCUCGUAGUAUCAUGCCGUCCUUUAAUAAGCCACUGAAGAUUGUUAGGCGGUAGGCCUGGGUCAGCUCCCUCAGCGGCUUUGGACAAACGCAUUUACAGCCUGUAACCAGCUCCCUUACGAGGGGUGCAGACGCACUGGUGGCCACGUAGAGGAUGACUCCUCCUGUUCCUGUGGACGGUCUCGGAGCCAGGAUCUGUUUGCCCCUGGUCGAUUCUGAACGGCAGACCCACAUGGGCAGUCAUACGCUCAGGAGAUCACUGAGACUUCAUAAGGCAGCCACUCCAGGAAUCUGUCUGGAGAAGGACGGUGCCUCUGCACGUCUGAUGGUGCUGAGUAGCAGGUGGGGCGACAGCAGGAAGUUAGCUGCUUGACACGGUGAUAAAGAAGCCCAGCCCACCGUGAGCCCUCUCAAUAGGCUCUCAGGGGAAGCAGGCAGGGUGAAUGGCAUCUGUACAACUUCUCCAGAAUAUUCUUUUGAAAGUCCACAGUGCAUUCCGGUUUCGAACCCUCCUGCUUCUGUGGGUUCACUGUGGAGUCCUAUCAGAUAUCCUCUUACACAGCAUUAGUUCAAUCUGCUUCGGCUUUUAGUUAUGUAUUCAGUAUGGUUUUAACUGACGGGAAGAUUGAGACACUUUUUAAAUAUGAAAAAGGACCUUUGGAAAAAUUGAAAAUAAUGCCUGCUUUUCAAGAAUGGUUGACUUAUGCUCCGUUGAUAUGGGACUCAUGAGUUGGGGACAUCCCCAGAGUGAGUCCUAGACCUGUUCCCAAGAAAAGACCACAAGGUUUAGGAAUAAGGAGAUACUAGAAGAAGGGAGCGGGUCCAUUGGCUUGACGCUGACUGACAGGCACACGUCAGGAAUCCGCCCUCUCAGUCAGCUGGUACCAGCAUCAGCAUCACCAGGAGUAUUCUCACGUCUGGUGAAUGUUGUAGAAAAUCCACUAGAAAGUCGUCUUUCACCAAGUCACGCAUAGCCUACCAUCUUUGAGCCAAAGGCAAGGGAGUUAAGAACAAACAGAAAACCAGCAGGCCUCCCAGGAAUAUCUGGGACCUGUUUUCAAUGCAAAAGUAUAGUAGAUCCCCCAAGUGAUACAUGUGCUGUGGGCUACCUGUUAAAACCCUAGCAGAGUCCUUUUUUUAAAGGCUGUUCCGCUACUUUUAUUCUUGGAAAAGACAGUAUGGCCAGGGAAUGCAGUUACACAUAGGUUACAUAUGAAAUGUGCAUCUGGUGAAACCCACAUGCACCUGACCCAGACUUCCGGGAAUGUAGAGGCACUGCAAAGGAUUGUUAUGUCGGGGAAAUGGCCCUUCAGCAGACAAAAGGCAGAAAGUGAGUGUCAUUUCAGAAGUGCUCCGACGUACAGGGGUCUAAGCAAUGUGUCGUUCUGCUAUGUGGAGCAGUGGUACACACAGCGGAUAAUAUUUUCUGAAACAAAGAAUGGCUGAAGGGAAGAUACGGAUGCCACCAGGGCCAAGAUGAGCCUACUAGAAUGUCUUCCGAUUUUCAGCACAUUGGGAUAAUGAGCAAAUUUCCCACAUGGUGCAAUGCUUUAUAGCACAAUGGUCUAGAUUUCAGACUUUGUUGUUGUUGUUGUUGUUGUUUUUCCUAAUGUGCACGGCGUGACGGGCAGAGUGAGUUUAAAAGCUUUAAGAGUGAUUAAUUGCAUGGCAGACACCCACGCUAACUUCACUUCCAGAACUUGACUGAUGCAUCCAUGUACAUUUACGUUGAGGAAUUUUGGUGGGAGGGGUGUUCCUCCUCCCAAAGUCAUUAAAAGUGUAUUAAAGUUUAUGCAGUCACUUCUAAUUCACUUGCACUGUUAGGGGAAUGCAGGUUUACAAAAAUACAUGUUUGGAAUAAAAAAUGGCUGCAAAUGA
Molecule: RNA transcript, 7728 nt
Organism: Prionailurus viverrinus (fishing cat)
Lineage: Eukaryota; Metazoa; Chordata; Mammalia; Carnivora; Felidae
Gene: ITGA9
Gene name: integrin subunit alpha 9
Exons: 29
Source: RefSeq, a predicted model, not a curated record